UAACAGUGUCUUCACUCUCGCAUUCAUCUGCAUUGUAGUCGCCGGCGUCGGAGGCCAGUCACCUUCAUCAGCGCCUUCCAAAUCACCAUCAACCCCUGCUACCACCCCUCCAGUUUCAACGCCGGUUGCAGCACCUUCCAAACCAACCUCACCAGCUCCCAUUGCUUCUCCCAAAUCAUCUCCUCCAGCUUCAUCCCCCAAAGCCGCCACCUCACCUGCUCCGGCGACCAAACCUCCAGCAUCAUCUCCACCGGCGGCGACACC
Molecule: long non-coding RNA, 264 nt
Filed under: Cicer arietinum (chickpea)
Lineage: Eukaryota; Viridiplantae; Streptophyta; Magnoliopsida; Fabales; Fabaceae
Description: long non-coding RNA (CARI_LNC002251)
Source: RNAcentral